This is a long non-coding RNA of Cryptotermes secundus, 506 nucleotides long. RefSeq lists it as uncharacterized. The record is from RefSeq and is a predicted model, not a curated record. Lineage: Eukaryota; Metazoa; Arthropoda; Insecta; Blattodea; Kalotermitidae. The transcript has 4 exons.
CGGUACUAGAUUAAGGAGCUGUAGAGCAGCAAAGAGAGGUGUGGGCAGAUAGUGGCGUAACUACGCAGCAGUUGUCAAGGUGAGAUGUGGUCUGGGCAUGAAGGUCAAUUGCUGGGGUGCCUAUAUAAGUUGCUGGUUUGUUCCGGCAUGGCAAUCUUCACCCAGCUGUGGAAGACAACUCAACACAAUGUUCAAGCUGUUUGUUCUGCUUGCUGCACUGUUGGCUCUGCUGGCCAGCGUGAGUGCUCUGCCUCAGUACCUUGUCUCCCCAUAUGGCUAUGGAUACUAUGGCAGCUACGCCUACCCCUACAGCUAUGGUAGUUACUUGUACCGUUAAGCUCAUGAUGUAAGAAUUUGUUAUGAUCGCAGCUUUCAGACCAUCUUGAACCAACACCAUACUGCAGAUUUUGAAAAUGUCAGUUAUCUUGAAUUCUUCAACUGUCUGCCAUACUUGCCUGUAAUUUGGUUUAUAUUCCUCUUUAAAAUAAAAUUACAGUAAUUAAUUA